Molecule: ribosomal RNA, 466 nt
Filed under: uncultured bacterium
Lineage: Bacteria
Description: bacterial SSU rRNA
Rfam family: Bacterial small subunit ribosomal RNA
Source: RNAcentral
UCCAGACUCCUACGGGAGGCAGCAGUGAGGAAUAUUGGUCAAUGGGCGGAAGCCUGAACCAGCCAAGUCGCGUGAGGGAAUAAGGCCCUACGGGUCGUAAACCUCUUUUGCCGGGGAGCAACGGGCGCCACGUGUGGCGCCACUGAGAGUACCCGGAGAAAAAGCAUCGGCUAACUCCGUGCCAGCAGCCGCGGUAAUACGGAGGAUGCGAGCGUUAUCCGGAUUUAUUGGGUUUAAAGGGUGCGCAGGCGGAAUGUCAAGUCAGCGGUAAAAUUUCGGGGCUCAACCCCGUCGUGCCGUUGAAACUGGCGUUCUUGAGUGAGCGAGAAGUAUGCGGAAUGCGUGGUGUAGCGGUGAAAUGCAUAGAUAUCACGCAGAACUCCGAUUGCGAAGGCAGCAUACCGGCGGCGAUCUGACGCUGAGGCACGAAAGCGUGGGUAUCGAACAGGAUUAGAUACCCCGGUAU